This 492-nucleotide ribosomal RNA is filed under the name uncultured bacterium. RNAcentral's name for it is "partial 16S ribosomal RNA". It matches the Rfam family "Bacterial small subunit ribosomal RNA", at positions 29 to 507 of the family's 1533-position model. The record is from RNAcentral.
AGUGAACGCUGGCGGUAGGCCUAACACAUGCAAGUCGAACGGCAGCACAGUAAGAGCUUGCUCUUACGGGUGGCGAGUGGCGGACGGGUGAGGAAUACAGCGGAAUCUACUUUUUCGUGGGGGAUAACGUAGGGAAACUUACGCUAAUACCGCAUACGACCUACGGGUGAAAGCAGGGGAUCUUCGGACCUUGCGCGAUUGAAUGAGCCGAUGUCGGAUUAGCUAGUUGGCGGGGUAAAGGCCCACCAAGGCGACGAUCCGUAGCUGAUCUGAGAGGAUGAUCAGCCACACUGGAACUGAGACACGGUCCAGACUCCUACGGGAGGCAGCAGUGGGGAAUAUUGGACGAUGGGCGCAAGCCUGAUGCAGCCAUACCGCGUGGGUGAAGAAGGCCUUCGGGUUGUAAAGCCCUUUUGUUGGGAAAGAAAAGAAGCAGGUUAAUACCUCGCUGUUCUGACGGUACCCAAAGAAUAAGCACCGGCUAACUUCGUG